Molecule: long non-coding RNA, 513 nt
Filed under: Marmota monax (woodchuck)
Lineage: Eukaryota; Metazoa; Chordata; Mammalia; Rodentia; Sciuridae
Source: RNAcentral
GGGCGGGGCCGGCCUGCGCCCCGGGACGGCGCUGACACGUGGUGUGCCGGGCGCUGGCAGGACGCGUGCUGCCGGGGGCCGCGUGCGGAGCCGCCCUUCCCCGCACCGUGCUGCGCAGGAGAACGUCACGCUCACCUGGGUGCCCGAUCUCACCUGGCGCGCAGGUGCUUCUGUAGCAGUGUGAAGGAUGCAGCCCAGGAAGACGCUGUGCAGAGCUGCACACCACAGUGCCUGCAGAAUUACCCGGAAAGGGCCGUCAGAACGUGUCUAGGUGGUGAGCCGGGCGUGGUUGGCGCCGCACGCACUUAAUCCCUGCUGCUCCGGAGACUGAAGCAGGAGGAUCGCACGUUCAAAGCCAGCACCAGCAAUUUAGCGAGGCCCUAAGCAGCUUAGCCAGAUCCUCUCUUAAAAUAAAGAUAAAAAGGACUGGGGAUGUGACUCAGUGGUAGAGCUCCCUGGGUUCAAUCUCCAGCACCCAAUGUGUGUGUUUUGUGUUGUCUGGGUAGACCAAGU